UACGUAGGUGGCAAGCGUUGUCCGGAAUUAUUGGGCGUAAAGCGCGCGCAGGCGGUCCUUUAAGUCUGAUGUGAAAGCCCACGGCUCAACCGUGGAGGGUCAUUGGAAACUGGGGGACUUGAGUGCAGAAGAGGAAAGCGGAAUUCCACGUGUAGCGGUGAAAUGCGUAGAGAUGUGGAGGAACACCAGUGGCGAAGGCGGCUUUCUGGUCUGUAACUGACGCUGAGGCGCGAAAGCGUGGGGAUCAAACAGG
Molecule: ribosomal RNA, 253 nt
Filed under: uncultured bacterium
Lineage: Bacteria
Description: partial 16S ribosomal RNA
Rfam family: Bacterial small subunit ribosomal RNA
Source: RNAcentral